This 468-nucleotide ribosomal RNA is filed under the name uncultured bacterium. RNAcentral describes it as "partial 16S ribosomal RNA". It matches the Rfam family "Bacterial small subunit ribosomal RNA", at positions 28 to 507 of the family's 1533-position model. The record is from RNAcentral.
GACGAACGCUGGCGGCGUGCCUAACACAUGCAAGUCGAACGGAAAGGCCCUGCUUUUGUGUGGUUCUCGAGUGGCGAACGGGUGUGUAACACGUGAGUAACCUGCCUUUGACUUUGGGACGUCUUCAGGAAACUGGGGCUAACACAGGAUAGGAGCUCCUGCUGCUGGGUGGGGGUCGGACCUUUUCGGCGGUUGGGGAUGGACGGGCGGCUUAUCAGCUUGUUGGUGGGGUAGUGGCUUACCAAGCCUUUGACGGGUAGUCGGCCUGAGAGGGUGAACGGGCACAAUGGGACUGCGGUAGGGACCAGACUGCAACGGUAGGCAGCAGUGGGAAAUAUUGCACAGUGGGGGGACGCGUGAUGAGGAGGCGCCGGGUGCGGGAUGACGGCCUUCGGGUUGUAAACCGCAUUCGCUUGUGACGAAGCGGGAGUGACGGUAAUGGGUAAAGAAGCACCGGCUAACUACGUG